CGCUGGCGGCGUGACCUAUACAUGCAAGUCGAACGCACUCUCGUUUAGAUUGAAGGAGCUUGCUCUAAUUGAUAAACAUUUGAGUGAGUGGCGGACGGGUGAGUAACACGUGGGUAACCUGCCCUAAAGUGGGGAUAACAUUUGGAAACAGAUGCUAAUACCGCAUAAAACCUAACACCGCAUGGUGUAGGGUUGAAAGAUGGUUUCGGCUAUCACUUUAGGAUGGACCCGCGGUGCAUUAGUUAGUUGGUGAGGUAAAGGCUCACCAAGACCGUGAUGCAUAGCCGACCUGAGAGGGUAAUCGGCCACACUGGGACUGAGACACGGCCCAGACUCCUACGGGAGGCAGCAGUAGGGAAUCUUCCACAAUGGACGAAAGUCUGAUGGAGCAACGCCGCGUGAGUGAAGAAGGUUUUCGGAUCGUAAAACUCUGUUGUUGGAGAAGAAUGUAUCUGAUAGUAACUGAUCAGGUAGUGACGGUAUCCAAUCAGAAAGCCACGGCUAACUACGUG
RNAcentral lists this ribosomal RNA (512 nucleotides) under uncultured bacterium. Its description in RNAcentral is "bacterial SSU rRNA". It matches the Rfam family "Bacterial small subunit ribosomal RNA", at positions 34 to 507 of the family's 1533-position model. The record is from RNAcentral.